RNAcentral lists this microRNA precursor (84 nucleotides) under Bombyx mori (domestic silkworm). RNAcentral's name for it is "mir-2807 microRNA precursor family". It matches the Rfam family "mir-2807 microRNA precursor family". The record is from Rfam by way of RNAcentral. Lineage: Eukaryota; Metazoa; Arthropoda; Insecta; Lepidoptera; Bombycidae.
UUAUUACCAGCUCAUAUUAGUAUGGAACGUUUGCUUGCGUUUGCCGCUAGGGGCGCUGUUCCAACUGCAUACAAAUUUGAGUUA